Molecule: non-coding RNA, 363 nt
Organism: Pelobates cultripes (western spadefoot toad)
Lineage: Eukaryota; Metazoa; Chordata; Amphibia; Anura; Pelobatidae
Source: the annotation of a GenBank genome assembly
GCUUUUUCUCCUAAUCUACACAUUUGCUAGCACAAUGUAUAGAUGGGAUUAUUUUUGUAUUUGUUUCCUUUUGGUAUUUAUUUGUGUUUAGUUGAGUCAGUGGUAACAUUUUCCUCAUGUUUUGUGGGUUUAGGCUUAUUAGGUAGGUGUUUUGUCAGUUUAAUGACAAAGAGUCUUGGUGGGAUGAAUUACCCUGGGAAGAUAAAUAAAUGUGCCUCUUGUAUGCUGGAGCUGGAAUUGUCACCCUGUGACCACCGCUUGCAGUCCGCAAAAAGAUCAAGAAAGAAAGUGAAGAUAUCAUGAGAAAUCAUAAGUGAUUAUCCUGUACCUAUCCAGUGUUUAUCCAAGCCUGUGACGGCACCU